Molecule: transfer RNA, 84 nt
Filed under: Thermoprotei archaeon
Lineage: Archaea; Thermoproteati; Thermoproteota; Thermoprotei
Also listed under: 3 other names
Description: tRNA-Leu
Rfam family: tRNA
About the family: Transfer RNA (tRNA) molecules are approximately 80 nucleotides in length.
Source: RNAcentral
GCGGAAGUGCCCGAGCCUGGUCCAAGGGGGCGGACUUAGGAUCCGUUGCCGUUGGCCGCGGGGGUUCGAAUCCCCCCUUCCGCA